UACGAAGGGGGCUAGCGUUGCUCGGAAUUACUGGGCGUAAAGGGCGCGUAGGCGGGUCGUUAAGUAGGGGGUGAAAGCCCAGGGCUCAACCCUGGAAUUGCCUUCUAAACUGGCGGCCUUGAGUAUGGCAGAGGUGUGUGGAACUCCGAGUGUAGAGGUGAAAUUCGUAGAUAUUCGGAAGAACACCAGUGGCGAAGGCGACACACUGGGCCAUUACUGACGCUGAGGCGCGAAAGCGUGGGUAGCAAACAGG
This 253-nucleotide ribosomal RNA is filed under the name uncultured bacterium. RNAcentral's name for it is "partial 16S ribosomal RNA". It matches the Rfam family "Bacterial small subunit ribosomal RNA", at positions 524 to 776 of the family's 1533-position model. The record is from RNAcentral.